Molecule: ribosomal RNA, 425 nt
Filed under: uncultured bacterium
Lineage: Bacteria
Description: partial 16S ribosomal RNA
Rfam family: Bacterial small subunit ribosomal RNA
Source: RNAcentral
GUGGGGAAUCUUGCGCAAUGGGCGAAAGCCUGACGCAGCCAUGCCGCGUGAAUGAUGAAGGUCUUAGGAUUGUAAAAUUCUUUCACCGGGGAAGAUAAUGACGGUACCCGGAGAAGAAGCCCCGGCUAACUUCGUGCCGGCAGCCGCGGUAAUACGAAGGGGGCUAGCGUUGCUCGGAAUUACUGGGCGUAAAGGGCGCGUAGGCGGACAUUUAAGUCAGAGGUGAAAGCCCAGGGCUCAACCUUGGAAUUGCCUUUGAUACUGGAUGUCUUGAGUUCGGGAGAGGUGAGUGGAACUCCGAGUGUAGAGGUGAAAUUCGUAGAUAUUCGGAAGAACACCAGUGGCGAAGGCGACUCACUGGCCCAAUACUGACGCUGAGGCGCGAAAGCGUGGGGAGCAAACAGGAUUAGAUACCCGUGUAGUCC